Molecule: long non-coding RNA, 2670 nt
Organism: Zeugodacus cucurbitae (melon fly)
Lineage: Eukaryota; Metazoa; Arthropoda; Insecta; Diptera; Tephritidae
Exons: 3
Source: RefSeq, a predicted model, not a curated record
AAAUAAAUUGUGCUGGCAGAACCUCACCAUUUAGUUCUAUUUACCAACUGCUAUAUACGUACAUAUGUAUUGAUAAUAAUGCAAUUGAGAAAAUGUGAUAACGUAGUCUUAAUGAACUCAAGUGAUAACAAAUACGUGGUCUUCAUGUCGAAUGUAUGGGUCAAAUUGUGUGUUAUAUUCAUAACUGCCGUCCCUAAAUAAAAGCUUUGGCGGAACGUUUUUUACCGCAUAUAGUAGCCACUCAUGAUUACACAUGUAUGUUCGAUCAGUAUGAAAUCAUUUCGCCAUACACUACAUACAAAUCGAUUUUUUUGCUCGUUCUUCAAGGAAUAAACAUGCCCCAUACAUUAUAAACAUGUGUGUACACCGAUCGUAAAAAGCAAACAUUUUCGCGAACAUGGAUUGGUAUGCACACAAGCCCAUAUACGAGUAAAUCAUACAUGUGUAUCGUGCAGGGAUAAAUUUAUCUCUGGUAUCGUGUAUGGCCACUUUCAGAGUUAACGGUGAUGCGGAUCCCUAAAUAAAAGCGACAGCUUUACGUCAAAUAUCAAAAUUGUUACUUGAAUUGUUGUUGUGAAAUUUUAUUGUACAGAGAAACUUCGUUUUUCGCAGCCAACUUUACUUCUUAAGCUGAAACUACAUAGCUCGGAUUCGACGACUCACAGAAGUUGAAUGUUUUCAACUUUCAUGCACAUGCAGCAACCUUCACAUUCUUAAGAAUAGCAACCAACAUAAUGUUCCUUACAAUCUUGUGUGUUUUAAUUAUUUAAGUAUUUUUGUGAAAUAUAAUAUUUAUUAAUUUAUUAAUAAUAUAUUUAUCAAAUAUUUAAAAUAAUUUUUAAAGAUUAGGGGUGAUGAAGUUUUAAUAAACAAAGUAGGUAGUUUAAAUUUUCCUUCCGUUUCUUAAUUCGAAGUUUUAUAUGUAUAUUGCUUAUAAAAAUCAAUAAGAAUUUAAAAUCGACGUCCAUAUUAUUUAGGUCGUUUUCAAAAUCACAAAGAAAAUGUGUGUAUGUGUAUCACCUUGUACACAGCUGUCAACGCAUUCAAUAGCGCAUUUAUUCAGCUGCUCGAAAUAUACGCAGUCAAGUGCACUUUUACGCUUUCGCAUUCGCAUACGCGAGCUAUGUAGUUAAGAGUCGCCGUCGCGUUAUUUCGGUAUGCCCCAAACAAAUUGUGUGGGCAUGAGAAUAAUUUCACUGUAAUUUAAUAUAUAUAUACUAGAGCUCUUGGUAUUCGACUAACCGAAUUAACCGAAUAGGGCAUUAUUCGAAUAAUAAUAUUUGGUUUACACUAUUCGGAUAGUCGUCAGUCAUCGACUAUUCGAUUAACCGCUCAUUUUCGACUAUUCGGUUAACCCUUCGUUGUCGACUAUUCGAAUAGUGCAAGUUCAUUAAUUUUCUUAUUUGUAUUGAAAAAAGGGAAACAUUAAAACUAACGAUUAACUUGCUUUAAAAUGUAAAAAAUAACAAUGAUUUUACGGGAACCAUUAAGUAAUGACAUAAUAGUUUUUAACCAUUUCAACUGGAUGAAUGUAUUAAAUCAGUAUUUUUCAUAAAAAGUCUAUUUUGAUAUAAGAAAGUUAAAAGGUUAACAUUUGUUGGUUGCAAGCAGCUUCUACGUGGAGCUACAAUGUUUCCAGCAAUGGAGAACGUCCUCCCUGAUUCUGAUAAAGUGGCUGGAAUGCGUAAACUUUAAAAAAUCAAAAGCUGUUUGGAUUUCAAACAAUUUUCAUUUAUUCGAAUAGUGACUGCAUAACUAUUCGAAUAACCGCAGUUGAACGACUAUUCGAAUAGUCGUAACAUUGCGAUUAAUCGAAUAGUACUAACCGGUUAAUAUUAGUACGAACGGUUACAAACCGGAUAUUUGAAUAAUCGGUUUUCAGGUUAAUCGAAUAAUUUUAAGAGCCCUAAUAUAUACAUUCAAUUUAUAAAGAAAAAUCUUUUUAUUUUAGUCAAAGAAUACGAAAUAAAUUUAAAAUUUUUACAAAUCUGUUGAAUUUCUGUAAAGUGCACAGAAUAGGCUGUAUAUAUAUAUAUAUAGGUGGCUUUUUCCUGGCUACAUAGGACGAGUACUAGGGAAGUUUCAACACUCUUCUCGCUUCCUCAUGGUUACUUUUGUGGUUUUAAUAUUUUUUGUAUUUUUCCCCAACUCUUAAAGACGGUAUAACCUUAUCAUCUAUAUAGAGGAAAUGGGGUCGUAAAACCAAACUAAAUAUUUUGCAACAUGUCUGGGAGGCUUCAGUCGAUAUCUCGAAUCAGAAUCGGAUAGAUAUGCUGAUAACCGGUCAAUCAUAAGCCAAACUUAUCAACGAAGCCACAAUGAAGAAGGCUCGGUUAAAACAAACACUGAAAUUUAAUAUUCAAAAUGUGUAAUUACCAAAUAUUCACACAAAGCCAAACAGAUUAUGUUGCCAAUAACGUUCUUUGUAUUUUCCACUAUCGACUAUCGGUAUAAAAAUCUUGUUGCGGUUCUAUUCUUUAUGUCACGCCAUUCUACCGUUGUUCAUACGACAAUGGGCAGCUGUAGAGUUGCCACUACUAUGUAAAAUGUAAAAUUAUUAAAAGUUAUAACAAAUAUGACGUUAUUUUGCCAGCAGAAACGUAAAAUAGCUUUGAUAUAUCAUUUAUAAUAACAAUCAAUUAUUUAAAACAAAUAAAUCGCCAAUUUUUA